Molecule: ribosomal RNA, 497 nt
Filed under: uncultured bacterium
Lineage: Bacteria
Description: partial 16S ribosomal RNA
Rfam family: Bacterial small subunit ribosomal RNA
Source: RNAcentral
GACGAACGCUGGCGGCGUGCCUAAUACAUGCAAGUAGAACGCUGAAGCGAGGAGCUUGCUCUUCUUGGAUGAGUUGCGAACGGGUGAGUAACGCGUAGGUAACCUGCCUUGUAGCGGGGGAUAACUAUUGGAAACGAUAGCUAAUACCGCAUAACAAUGGAUGACCCAUGUCAUUUAUUUGAAAGGGGCAAAUGCUCCACUACAAGAUGGACCUGCGUUGUAUUAGCUAGUAGGUGAGGUAACGGCUCACCUAGGCGACGAUACAUAGCCGACCUGAGAGGGUGAGCGGCCACACUGAGACGGAGACACGGCCCAGACGCCUACGGGAGGCAGCAGUAGGGAAUCGUCGGCAAUGGGGGCAACCCUGACCGAGCAACGCCGCGUGAGUGAAGAAGGUUUUCGGAUCGGAAAGCUCUGUUGUAAGUCAAGAACGAGUGUGAGAGUGGAAAGUUCACACUGUGACGGUAGCUUACCAGAAAGGGACGGCUAACUACGUG